UACGGGGGGGGCAAGCGUUGUUCGGAAUUACUGGGCGUAAAGGGCUCGUAGGCGGACAACUAAGUCAGACGUGAAAUCCCUCGGCUUAACCGGGGAACUGCGUCUGAUACUGGAUGGCUUGAGUUUGGGAGAGGGAUGCGGAAUUCCAGGUGUAGCGGUGAAAUGCGUAGAUAUUGGGAAGAACACCGGUGGCGAAGGCGGCGACCUGGUCCUUGACUGACGCUUAGGCGCGAAAGCGUGGGGAGCAAACAGG
RNAcentral lists this ribosomal RNA (253 nucleotides) under uncultured bacterium. Its description in RNAcentral is "partial 16S ribosomal RNA". It matches the Rfam family "Bacterial small subunit ribosomal RNA", at positions 524 to 776 of the family's 1533-position model. The record is from RNAcentral.